Hydra vulgaris (swiftwater hydra) is the source of this 1905-nucleotide long non-coding RNA. RefSeq lists it as uncharacterized. The record is from RefSeq and is a predicted model, not a curated record. NCBI's taxonomy places the organism in Eukaryota, Metazoa, Cnidaria, Hydrozoa, Anthoathecata, Hydridae.
CUUUUUUUAUUGGCUCCAUAAAAAUUAGUGUUAAAAGAAGAGAGAAAGUAGUUGCAUAGUUUUUUAUGAUAGAUAGAUGUGACUAGUCGACUCCGCAGUCUUUGUUUUGAUCAACAUUGUUUAGCCUUUCAAGAAUGAGUACCAUGUAGAACGAAUACCAAAGAAUACCAAAUAUUUGAUACAACUAAAUAAUGCAAUUAAUACGAUUACAUUUACUAUAGUAUCAUGCGUUAUAUAAUUGUAGUUAACGUACAUUUUGACUUCAAAGUCGGGUUUGGCGCAAAUUUGAUAAUAAUGUGUCUUCAGGUCGGGUCUUGUUUAAAAAAUAAACUACACAUACUUAGCUCAUGCAUGAAAUGCAAUAUCCAAUGGAUCAAUUUCAUGUGACGUAAAAGCACACACUGAACACAUGGACCGUAAACACACAAACCAAAGCACAUAAAAUAUACAUCAAAACAAACAUGUAGAAAUCAAUUUGCAGUUAAUGUUAACUUGUUAAUGCGAUAGUUUCCAACUUAACCCCAAACGUGACAACAAUAGCUAAGAUGAGAUAAGAAUAAUGCAUAGUAAAUACUCCUAAGUGUAACUUUAUUGACAUAAUGACGAAUUAUUGAAAGUAAACCGUUAGCUCGAGAUUACCGUUAGAUCAAUAUGAAUGUUCCAUGUAAGAUUACAACCUAUUAUUACACCAAGGUAUUAAAUAACUCUUGAAGGAUAUAGCCGUUUAUUAUUAAUUUUGAUUUUGAUUUCAACAUUUUUAAAGAAAUUGUUUUUUCUUGGAGAUGAAAAAUAAAUUAGUUCAGUUUUUUCGCUUUUGACACUUAUUAGGUUAGCAUUUGACCAGUGAACUGUACCUUUUAGAUCCGAAUUAAAAUUUUUACAUAAGGAAUGAUACGAUUAGUUGAUGUGCAAGAGAUUUAUAUCAUCAGCAAACAGAUGGACUAAAGAGAAGUGAACAGAGUUGAUUAGGUCGUUAACGUUAGGUCGUUAACGUAGAUUGAAAACAAAAAAGGACCUAGAACAGAAACUUGAGGAACACCACUCAAAACUGAUUUAUAACUAGAAUUGAAACCAUUCAUACUUACAAAUUGUUUUUGAUCUGCAAGAUAAGAUCGAAACCAGUCAUUUACAAUACCACGAAAUCCAUAUCAAAAUCCUAUGGUCAACAGUAUCGAAAGCUUUUUGUAAAUCGAUAAAAACACCACAAACGAUAUGGCCAGUAUCAAGAGCUUUCCUGAUUUUUUCCGUUAUACUUAUUAAUGCAAGGCAAGUAGAAUGUUUUGAUCGAAAACCAAAUUGAAAAUCAUUUAAACAAUUAAAUGAGUUUAGAAAAGAGUACACUUAAGAAUACCUAAGUUUUUCGAGAAGCCUACUAAUAUUAGAUAAAAAAGAAAUAGGUCUGUAGUUAGUGCAUGAAAGUUUAGAGCCAUUUUUAAAUAUUGGAAUAUGUAGUAGUUUAUCACCUCCGCCUGAUUUAUCACCUCCCCCAUAGAAAACUCAAAACGAGAUUGCGCUUUUAGUUUAUAGCUGUUAGAAUUGUACCUACGACGCCCGUUUAGCGCAAUAAACUUCAGCAACAACAACUUAAAGAAAAGACAAGGUCAACAAUUCUAGAAAUAAAAUUUACUCGGUCUGUUGUGAUGUUCCAACUCCAUAUUUUUGAAAGUUAUGAUCUUCAUAAAACGCAACGCAAACACUGGUGGAUGAAACAAAAAGGGAUUCAUUAUUAAAAUAGUAACUUAAGAACGUCACAUACUCCAGAAAAAACAGAUUCGUUGUGAAACGUGAUUACUACCGAUAGCGAAUGUUUUGUGUUCUCUCAAAGAAUCCAUUGUUCGGAAAUUUACGAAUGUUACGAUGUAUAAUAUUAUAUUAAUUAGAAAAUACUUAGUAUGUUUUAAUAUA